AUGAGUUGCAUAAGCUGGAACUGCCCGGGGCUUGGGAACCCUGAGGCAGUUUGCAAGCAUCGCAAUGUGGUGAAGUAAGAAGGGCCCGUGCUGGUUUUAGUCAUGGAGACGAAGAUCAGAGGAAAACGAGUGGAGGAUCUCUGGCAUACUUUAGGGUUUGCAGGCAGUUAUGCAGUGGGCAGUGACAGCAUGAGCGGAGGUAUAGGGCUGUUCUGGUCUAAAGACAUUAAUUUUGAGCUGAAAAACUUCAGCAGUAGUCAUAUUGAUGUGGUGGUAAGUACAGACACCACGGGGUCGAAUACGUGGAGGUUUACAGGUUUCUAUGGAGCGCCAAGAGUAUCCGAUCGUCAUCACAGCUGGCAUUUCCUUAGAACACUCCACAACAUUCCUCAUGGUGCAUGGAUGUGUGUUGGUGACUUCAACGAGACUCUAUACCCCAAUGAACAUUUCAACAAUUCUGCUCGCCCCGAGCGACAGAUGAGGGAGUUUCGUGAGGUUACAAACGAGUGUGCUCUUCAAGAUUUAGGUUGGUCAGGUGUGGCUUAUACAUGGGACAAUCGUCAGUCUGGAGAUGCCAAUGUCAAAGCAAGGCUCGAUAGGGCCUUUGCUAAUGAGGAGUUUCGACAAAGGUUUGAACAUAUAAGGGUUAGGCAUGUGUGUGCUGUGGAGUCUGACCAUUGUUUUGUCAUAACUGAGUUUAGAAACCACGCAUUUCCACAUAGGCCACCGGGUUCCAAACAGUUCUGCUACGAAAACGUCUGA
RNAcentral lists this ribosomal RNA (762 nucleotides) under Triticum aestivum (bread wheat). RNAcentral's name for it is "partial small subunit ribosomal RNA". Lineage: Eukaryota; Viridiplantae; Streptophyta; Magnoliopsida; Poales; Poaceae. The record is from RNAcentral.